CGCGUAGGCGGUGUUUUAAGUGAGAUGUGCAAUCCCCGAGCUUAACUUGGGAACUGCAUCUCAGACUGGAACGCUAGAGUGCUGGAGAGGGUGGUAGAAUUCCACGUGUAGCGGUGAAAUGCGUAGAGAUGUGGAGGAAUACCAGUGGCGAAGGCGGCCACCUGGACAGUAACUGACGCUGAGGCGCGAAAGUGUGGGUAGCAAACAGGAUUAGAUACCCUGGUAGUCCACGCUGUAAACGAUGAACACUUGGUGUGGUGGGAGUUGACCCCUGCCGUGCCGUAGCUAACGCGAUAAGUGCUCCGCCUGGGGAGUACGGUCGCAAGGCUGAA
This 332-nucleotide ribosomal RNA is filed under the name uncultured bacterium. RNAcentral's name for it is "bacterial SSU rRNA". It matches the Rfam family "Bacterial small subunit ribosomal RNA", at positions 568 to 898 of the family's 1533-position model. The record is from RNAcentral.